GACGAACGCUGGCGGCGUGCCUAAUACAUGCAAGUAGAACGCUGAAGAGAGGAGCUUGCUCUUCUUGGAUGAGUUGCGAACGGGUGAGUAACGCGUAGGUAACCUGCCUUGUAGCGGGGGAUAACUAUUGGAAACGAUAGCUAAUACCGCAUAGCAAUGGAUGACACAUGUCAUUUAUUUGAAAGGGGCAAUUGCUCCACUACAAGAUGGACCUGCGUUGUAUUAGCUAGUAGGUGAGGUAACGGCUCACCUAGGCGACGAUACAUAGCCGACCUGAGAGGGUGAUCGGCCACACUGGGACUGAGACACGGCCCAGACUCCUACGGGAGGCAGCAGUAGGGAAUCUUCGGCAAUGGGGGCAACCCUGACCGAGCAACGCCGCGUGAGUGAAGAAGGUUUUCGGAUCGUAAAGCUCUGUUGUAAGUCAAGAACGAGUGUGAGAGUGGAAAAUUCACACUGUGACGGUAGCUUACCAGAAAGGGACGGCUAACUACGUGCCAGCAGCCGCGGUAAUACGUAGGUCCCGAGCGUUGUCCGGAUUUAUUGGGCGUAAAGCGAGCGCAGGCGGUUUGAUAAGUCUGAAGUUAAAGGCUGUGGCUCAACCAUAGUUCGCUUUGGAAACUGUCAAACUUGAGUGCAGAAGGGGAGAGUGGAAUUCCAUGUGUAGCGGUGAAAUGCGUAGAUAUAUGGAGGAACACCGGUGGCGAAAGCGGCUCUCUGGUCUGUAACUGACGCUGAGGCUCGAAAGCGUGGGGAGCGAACAGGAUUAGAUACCCUGGUAGUCCACGCCGUAAACGAUGAGUGCUAGGUGUUGGAUCCUUUCCGGGAUUCAGUGCCGCAGCUAACGCAUUAAGCACUCCGCCUGGGGAGUACGACCGCAAGGUUGAAACUCAAAGGAAUUGACGGGGGCCCGCACAAGCGGUGGAGCAUGUGGUUUAAUUCGAAGCAACGCGAAGAACCUUACCAGGUCUUGACAUCCCGAUGCUAUUUCUAGAGAUAGAAAGUUACUUCGGUACAUCGGUGACAGGUGGUGCAUGGUUGUCGUCAGCUCGUGUCGUGAGAUGUUGGGUUAAGUCCCGCAACGAGCGCAACCCCUAUUGUUAGUUGCCAUCAUUCAGUUGGGCACUCUAGCGAGACUGCCGGUAAUAAACCGGAGGAAGGUGGGGAUGACGUCAAAUCAUCAUGCCCCUUAUGACCUGGGCUACACACGUGCUACAAUGGUUGGUACAACGAGUUGCGAGUCGGUGACGGCAAGCUAAUCUCUUAAAGCCAAUCUCAGUUCGGAUUGUAGGCUGCAACUCGCCUACAUGAAGUCGGAAUCGCUAGUAAUCGCGGAUCAGCACGCCGCGGUGAAUACGUUCCCGGGCCU
Molecule: ribosomal RNA, 1369 nt
Filed under: uncultured bacterium
Lineage: Bacteria
Description: bacterial SSU rRNA
Rfam family: Bacterial small subunit ribosomal RNA
Source: RNAcentral